Molecule: ribosomal RNA, 492 nt
Filed under: uncultured bacterium
Lineage: Bacteria
Description: partial 16S ribosomal RNA
Rfam family: Bacterial small subunit ribosomal RNA
Source: RNAcentral
AGUGAACGCUGGCGGUAGGCCUAACACAUGCAAGCCGAACGGCAGCACAGUAAGAGCUUGCUCUUACGGGUGGCGAGUGGCGGACGGGUGAGGAAUACAUCGGAAUCUACUUUUUCGUGGGGGAUAACGUAGGGAAACUUACGCUAAUACCGCAUACGACCUACGGGUGAAAGCAGGGGAUCUUCGGACCUUGCGCGAUUGAAUGAGCCGAUGUCGGAUUAGCUAGUUGGCGGGGUAAAGGCCCACCAAGGCGACGAUCCGUAGCUGGUCUGAGAGGAUGAUCAGCCACACUGGAACUGAGACACGGUCCAGACUCCUACGGGAGGCAGCAGUGGGGAAUAUUGGACAAUGGGCGCAAGCCUGAUCCAGCCAUACCGCGUGGGUGAAGAAGGCCUUCGGGUUGUAAAGCCCUUUUGUUGGGAAAGAAGAGCAGCAGGUUAAUACCCCGCUGUUCUGACGGUACCCAAAGAAUAAGCACCGGCUAACUUCGUG